UUGACAUGUCCGGUAUGGUUUCCAGAGAUGGAUUCCUUCAGUUAGGCUGGCCGGAACACAGGUGCUGCAUGGCUGUCGUCAGCUCGUGUCGUGAGAUGUUGGGUUAAGUCCGCAACGAGCGCAACCCUCGCCCUUAGUUGCCAUCAUUUAGUUGGGCACUCUAGGGGGACUGCCGGUGAUAAGCCGAGAGGAAGGUGGGGAUGACGUCAAGUCCUCAUGGCCCUUACGGGCUGGGCUACACACGUGCUACAAUGGCGGUGACAGUGGGAUGCUAAGGGGCGACCCCUCGCAAAUCUCAAAAAGCCGUCUCAGUUCGGAUUGCGCUCUGCAACUCGAGCGCAUGAAGGUGGAAUCGCUAGUAAUCGUAGAUCAGAACGCUACGGUGAAUACGUUCCCGGGCCUUGUACACACCGCCCGUCACACCAUGGGAGUUGGUUCUACCUGAAGGCGUUUUGCUAACCGCAAGGGGGGCAGACGACCACGGUAGGGUCAGCGACUGGGGUGAAGUCGUAACAAGGUAAGCGUAGUGCU
This 531-nucleotide ribosomal RNA is filed under the name uncultured bacterium. Its description in RNAcentral is "bacterial SSU rRNA". It matches the Rfam family "Bacterial small subunit ribosomal RNA", at positions 981 to 1509 of the family's 1533-position model. The record is from RNAcentral.